This 23-nucleotide non-coding RNA is filed under the name Cricetulus griseus (Chinese hamster). The record is from RNAcentral. Lineage: Eukaryota; Metazoa; Chordata; Mammalia; Rodentia; Cricetidae.
UGUAUUAAAUAAAGAGGACUGUA